RNAcentral lists this transfer RNA (97 nucleotides) under Rhizoctonia solani AG-1 IB. It matches the Rfam family "tRNA". From Rfam's summary of the family: Transfer RNA (tRNA) molecules are approximately 80 nucleotides in length. Their secondary structure includes four short double-helical elements and three loops (D, anti-codon, and T loops). Lineage: Eukaryota; Fungi; Basidiomycota; Agaricomycetes; Cantharellales; Ceratobasidiaceae. The record is from Rfam by way of RNAcentral.
GGUUGGCUAGCUCAGUUGGUUAGAGCGUCGAGCUAAUAUCAUGCAAGAUAUCAUGUAUGUAACUCGAAGGUCAUGGGUUCGACCCCCCUGCUGACCA